CCCUUCGCGCGGUACUCGAGUGGCGAACGGGUGAGUAACACGUGGGUGAUCUGCCCUGCACUUUGGGAUAAGCCUGGGAAACUGGGUCUAAUACCGAAUACACCCUGCUGGUCGCAUGGCCUGGUGGGGGAAAGCUUUUGCGGUGUGGGAUGGGCCCGCGGCCUAUCAGCUUGUUGGUGAGGUUACGGCUCACCAAGGCGACGACGGGUAGCCGGCCUGAGAGGGUGACCGGCCACACUGGGACUGAGAUACGGCCCAGACUCCUACGGGAGGCAGCAGUGGGGAAUAUUGCACAAUGGGCGCAAGCCUGAUGCAGCGACGCCGCGUGAGGGAUGACGGCCUUCGGGUUGUAAACCUCUUUCGCCAGGGACGAAGCGCAAGUGACGGUACCUGGAGAAGAAGGACCGGCCAACUACGUGCCAGCAGCCGCGGUAAUACGUAGGGUCCGAGCGUUGUCCGGAAUUACUGGGCGUAAAGAGCUCGUAGGUGGUUUGUCGCGUUGUUCGUGAAAACUCACAGCUCAACUGUGGGCGUGCGGGCGAUACGGGCAGACUAGAGUACUGCAGGGGAGACUGGAAUUCCUGGUGUAGCGGUGGAAUGCGCAGAUAUCAGGAGGAACACCGGUGGCGAAGGCGGGUCUCUGGGCAGUAACUGACGCUGAGGAGCGAAAGCGUGGGGAGCGAACAGGAUUAGAUACCCUGGUAGUCCACGCCGUAAACGGUGGGUACUAGGUGUGGGUUUCCUUCCUUGGGAUCCGUGCCGUAGCUAACGCAUUAAGUACCCCGCCUGGGGAGUACGGCCGCAAGGCUAAAACUCAAAGAAAUUGACGGGGGCCCGCACAAGCGGCGGAGCAUGUGGAUUAAUUCGAUGCAACGCGAAGAACCUUACCUGGGUUUGACAUGCACAGGACGCUGGUAGAGAUAUCAGUUCCCUUGUGGCCUGUGUGCAGGUGGUGCAUGGCUGUCGUCAGCUCGUGUCGUGAGAUGUUGGGUUAAGUCCCGCAACGAGCGCAACCCUUAUCUUAUGUUGCCAGCGCGUAAUGGCGGGGACUCGUGAGAGACUGCCGGGGUCAACUCGGAGGAAGGUGGGGAUGACGUCAAGUCAUCAUGCCCCUUAUGUCCAGGGCUUCACACAUGCUACAAUGGCCGGUACAAAGGGCUGCGAUGCCGUGAGGUGGAGCGAAUCCUUGUAAAGCCGGUCUCAGUUCGGAUCCGGGUCUGCAACUCGCCCCCGUGAAGUCGGAGUCGCUAGUAAUCGCAGAUCAGCAACGCUGCGGUGAAUACGUUCCCGGGCCUUGUACACACCGCCCGUCACGUCAUGAAAGUCGGUAACACC
Molecule: ribosomal RNA, 1335 nt
Filed under: Mycobacterium sp. UBH17
Lineage: Bacteria; Bacillati; Actinomycetota; Actinomycetes; Mycobacteriales; Mycobacteriaceae
Description: bacterial SSU rRNA
Rfam family: Bacterial small subunit ribosomal RNA
Source: RNAcentral